AAAGAGGUAAGUUAAUUAAACUACUGGGUUCAUACCCCAAUCAUAGAGAUUAAUAAUUCUCUCCUUUUUG
Molecule: transfer RNA, 70 nt
Filed under: Proagoderus schwaneri
Lineage: Eukaryota; Metazoa; Arthropoda; Insecta; Coleoptera; Scarabaeidae
Description: tRNA-Met
Source: RNAcentral